AGAGUGAACGCUGGCGGUAGGCCUAACACAUGCAAGUCGAACGGCAGCACGGUAAGAGCUUGCUCUUAUGGGUGGCGAGUGGCGGACGGGUGAGGAAUACAUCGGAAUCUACCUUUUGGUGGGGGAUAACGUAGGGAAACUUACGCUAAUACCGCAUACGCCCUUCGGGGGAAAGCCGGGGACCAGCAAUGGCCUGGCGCUGAUAGAUGAGCCGAUGUCGGAUUAGCUAGUUGGUGAGGUAAUGGCUCACCGAAGGCGACGAUCCGUAGCUGGUCUGAGAGGAUGAUCAGCCACACUGGAACUGAGACACGGUCCAGACUCCGUACGGGAGCAGCGAGUAGGGAAUUAGUAGGACAAGUGGCGACAACGCCUAGACUCCAGACCGACGUACCGGCGGUGGGUA
Molecule: ribosomal RNA, 403 nt
Filed under: uncultured soil bacterium
Lineage: Bacteria
Description: bacterial SSU rRNA
Rfam family: Bacterial small subunit ribosomal RNA
Source: RNAcentral